RNAcentral lists this non-coding RNA (104 nucleotides) under Cylindrotheca closterium. Lineage: Eukaryota; Bacillariophyta; Bacillariophyceae; Bacillariales; Bacillariaceae. The record is from RNAcentral.
GGUUUCUUCCAUGGAAAGCAAUAUUCUGUUUUGCCAGAAGGAGACGACAAAUUGAGAAAACCGAUGGAAUUAGGAGAUGCCGAUACUACUGUUCCUGCUUGGAG